CAGCUCUGAUUCAUUCACUGAAGUGAAUGAGGCAUGGCUUUCAUGAUGAAAUAGAGUACCUUGCUGCUCUUGUUAGACCUUGCCACUCCUACAAGGAACUUGUGUAUCUAUAUCCUUAAAUAUAUUCAUCAUUUGCAC
Molecule: long non-coding RNA, 138 nt
Filed under: Numida meleagris (helmeted guineafowl)
Lineage: Eukaryota; Metazoa; Chordata; Aves; Galliformes; Numididae
Description: lncRNA (ENSNMEG00000014031.1)
Source: RNAcentral